This 1207-nucleotide long non-coding RNA is filed under the name Numida meleagris (helmeted guineafowl). Its description in RNAcentral is "lncRNA (ENSNMEG00000002845.1)". Lineage: Eukaryota; Metazoa; Chordata; Aves; Galliformes; Numididae. The record is from RNAcentral.
UCUGUCGUAUAGCGAGGUUUGCUAUCACUUUAAAUUCUUCUCGUCUUGAGUCAUUCCAUCCUGUAUGUAAUUCAAACAGGUUUUUGUAUAAUUAUUUCUCUUAAUAAUUACCAUUAUACAAUUGCUAUAGCUGCCAGUUUUGUUUCUCUUUUCUGCCAGAGAAUAGGAGAAAUGCAUUACGCAUUUGUGUAACUUACGAUCUUUGAUUCAUGCUUAAAAUGCAUGGAAUAUUUUUCAUUUUCUGUUUGAGGCAGUACCUCAUCUGGGAUCACAUCUCACAGUGUAAGCUUACACUGUAUAAAUGGACUCCUUGUAUUGCAACUAGGUAUAAACUACAGUAAAAAAGCAAAGGAGGUCAAGAGAAUUGAAUUUCUUAAGGCGAUGGGGGCCAGUGAAUAUUAAUGGCUGCAGGUAGAGGCACGCUGCAUCUGGACAGUAAUGCAGAAAGCCUUUUUGUAUGGUCAUUUUUUUUUUCCCCUUUAAAAUAAAUUUGAUUUGACCAUCAUUAUAGCCCUUUGUUGUUGUCUUUUGAUGAGGAUUCUAGGAAAUUGGCUUGCUGGCAUGCAUGGCUUACUGGCAGGGAGAGCAAGCUGGAAUUUGCAAGCACAAGUGUUCCUACUAGAGAUCUAAUUCAAGAAGUUAUAUUCUCCAGUUGAGAGAAGAAAAAAGUUUUUUAGGGUUGAGGUUUUUUUGUGUAUGCUUUUCUUGUUUUUUUCUCCAGGGUAGAUGGGAGCAGGCACAGCAGCCUGAGGGAGAGAUGCAUGUGCUCAUCCCCAGCACACCUGGCUCCUUGCUGAUGUCUGCCUUGGAGCUGCCACUGGAGAAGAUAGGAAAUGAGCACGCAUGGAGGGGAUGUCCUAUGGCCAAGGAGCUCCAGCACAACAGAUUCAAAGCAGAAAAAGCCUCCAUUGCCAUUGGGAAGACAGACUGGGAGAAAUCUUUGUCACGCUCAUUUUUCAUCUGCAUCCCAGCAUAGCAGUCAGCUGCUCGAGACCUGCCCGCCUCCGUGACGUUUCCAGGAGGGCCCAGCGGUGCCCACCUCGUGCUCCAAAGCUCUUUGGCCAGAAGUUACACUUGGACCAACCGAGGCUGCUUUGCUGAAUCCAUCUCAGUAUCCCACUCACAGAAGCUUUUAAUUUCCUCACUACCAGUUUGAGGGGGAUGGGAGUAGAAUAAAUUGAGAGCGGAAUAAAUUUACGCUCUGUUA